GAUAAACGCUGGCGGCGCACAUAAGACAUGCAAGUCGAACGAAAGUCGUUUUAGGGAAUUAGAGUGAAAGAUUUAUCCGGAACGAAGAUGAACUAAAACAAUGGCUUUAGUGGCGGACUGGUGAGUAACACGUAAGCAACCUGCCUGUUAGAGGGGAAUAACAACGAGAAAUCGUUGCUAAUACCGCAUAUGCCAUAGGAACCACAUGGUUCUAGUGGGAAAGGAGUAAUCCGCUAACAGAUGGGCUUGCGUCUGAUUAGAUAGUUGGUGGGGUAACGGCCUACCAAGUCGACGAUCAGUAGCCGGACUGAGAGGUUCAACGGCCACAUUGGGACUGAGAUACGGCCCAGACUCCUACGGGAGGCAGCAGUCGGGAAUAUUGCGCAAUGGAGGAAACUCUGACGCAGUGACGCCGCGUAUAGGAAGAAGGUUUUCGGAUUGUAAACUAUUGUCGAUAGGGAAGAUAAAAGACUGUACCUAUCAAGAAAGCUACCGGCUAACUACGUGCCAG
This 511-nucleotide ribosomal RNA is filed under the name uncultured bacterium. Its description in RNAcentral is "bacterial SSU rRNA". It matches the Rfam family "Bacterial small subunit ribosomal RNA", at positions 28 to 511 of the family's 1533-position model. The record is from RNAcentral.